UUAAAUAAUAAUAAUUUAUUAAUUUAGUCUCCUUUGGCGUUCUAACAUUUUCCUAUAAAUAGAGGGCUAAGUUAUAAUUGAAAAUCACACCAGAAACAAAGUUUUCUCUCUCUAAAUUAUCGAGCGUAUUCUUGUGAGUAUACUUUGAGUGUUGCUAUACGGUGCGGGUUUCUGUCAGCACUAUACCGAAAUUCAGUCAGAAGUACGGUUAUUUUGAG
RNAcentral lists this long non-coding RNA (218 nucleotides) under Panax ginseng (ginseng). RNAcentral's name for it is "long non-coding RNA (PGIN_LNC015457)". The record is from RNAcentral. Lineage: Eukaryota; Viridiplantae; Streptophyta; Magnoliopsida; Apiales; Araliaceae.